RNAcentral lists this non-coding RNA (83 nucleotides) under pig gut metagenome. RNAcentral describes it as "NiCo riboswitch". It matches the Rfam family "NiCo (Nickel/Cobalt) riboswitch aptamer". The record is from RNAcentral.
ACAGUACAAACUGAACAGACCGUAGCGCAAGUUAUGGAGUCGGGUUACAUCAGUAACAGUGGAAUUUACACCCACGGGACAGU